GCUCAGGAUGAACGCUAGCUACAGGCUUAACACAUGCAAGUCGAGGGGCAGCAUGGGGUUUGCUUGCAAACCCUGAUGGCGACCGGCGCACGGGUGAGUAACGCGUAUCCAACCUUCCCCUUAGUAGGGCAUAGCCCGGUGAAAAUCGGAUUAAUACCCUAUAUUCUUCACAGCGGACAUCUAACGUGAAGCAAAGAUUCAUCGCUAAGGGAUGGGGAUGCGUCUGAUUAGGUAGUCGGCGGGGUAACGGCCCACCGAGCCAUCGAUCAGUAGGGGUUCUGAGAGGAAGGUCCCCCACAUUGGAACUGAGACACGGUCCAAAACUCCUACGGGAGGCAGCAGUGAGGAAUAUUGGUCAAUGGGCGAGAGCCUGAACCAGCCAAGUAGCGUGCAGGACGACGGCCCUAUGGGUUGUAAACUGCUUUUAUGCGGGGAUAAAGUUCACUACGUGUAGUGUUUUGUAGGUACCGCAUGAAUAAGGACCGGCUAAUUCCGUGCCAGCAGCCGCGGUAAUACGGAAGGUCCGGGCGUUAUCCGGAUUUAUUGGGUUUAAAGGGAGCGCAGGCCGGAGGUCAAGCGUGACGUGAAAUGUAGCCGCUCAACGGCUGAACUGCGUCGCGAACUGGCUUUCUUGAGUGAGUUCGAUGUGGGCGGAAUUCGUGGUGUAGCGGUGAAAUGCUUAGAUAUCACGAAGAACUCCGAUUGCGAAGGCAGCCCACAAGGCCUUUACUGACGCUAAAGCUCGAAGGUGCGGGUAUCGAACAGGAUUAGAUACCCUGGUAGUCCGCACGGUAAACGAUGGAUGCUCGCUGUCGGCGAUACAGUGUCGGCGGCCUAGUGAAAGCAUUAAGCAUCCCACCUGGGGAGUACGCCGGCAACGGUGAAACUCAAAGGAAUUGACGGGGGCCCGCACAAGCGGAGGAACAUGUGGUUUAAUUCGAUGAUACGCGAGGAACCUUACCCGGGCUUGAAUUGCAGGUUUUGGAUCAGAGAUGGUCCUUUCCCUUCGGGGUUCCUGUGAAGGUGCUGCAUGGUUGUCGUCAGCUCGUGCCGUGAGGUGUCGGCUUAAGUGCCAUAACGAGCGCAACCCCUUUCGUCAGUUGCCAUCAGGUUAAGCUGGGCACUCUGGCGACACUGCCACCGCAAGGUGUGAGGAAGGUGGGGAUGACGUCAAAUCAGCACGGCCCUUACGUCCGGGGCGACACACGUGUUACAAUGGUGGGUACAGAGGGCAGCUACCUGGUGACAGGAUGCAAAUCUCGAAAACCCAUCUCAGUUCGGAUCGGAGUCUGCAACUCGACUCCGUGAAGUUGGAUUCGCUAGUAAUCGCGCAUCAGCCAUGGCGCGGUGAAUACGUUCCCGGGCCUUGUACACACCGCCCGUCAAG
Molecule: ribosomal RNA, 1387 nt
Filed under: uncultured bacterium
Lineage: Bacteria
Description: bacterial SSU rRNA
Rfam family: Bacterial small subunit ribosomal RNA
Source: RNAcentral